RNAcentral lists this unclassified non-coding RNA (153 nucleotides) under soil metagenome. RNAcentral's name for it is "partial internal transcribed spacer 1". The record is from RNAcentral.
CCGAGUUAUACAACUCCUCAACCCCUGUGAACAUACCCUAUACGUUGCCUCGGCGGGAAUCAGCCCGGCCCCGGUAAAACGGGACGCCCCGCCAGAGGACCCCCUAACUCUGUUUCUAUAAUGUACUUCUGAGUAAAAAGCCAUAAUAAAUCA